CAAACCUUGCCAACAGCUUCAAAAAAAGCUGUAGGUAUGCAUCAUAGCUUCUGUGAUCUCAGAACCGUUUCUCUGACCAGCAAAAGAAGAGAUGAAAAUGCUCCUCUUGACCUCUAUCUGCACUACACCAGAAACGUCAUUGAGCCAGUUUCUUCUAAGGAGAUAACAGAAACUUUCUAUGCAAGGCUGUGGGGGGCUGGUAAUAUAAGGCUAGGAGGAUAAAGCUCCUUACUAAUAAACAAGCUGACAUUGAAUA
This 256-nucleotide long non-coding RNA is filed under the name Homo sapiens (human). RNAcentral describes it as "HSALNT0062707". Lineage: Eukaryota; Metazoa; Chordata; Mammalia; Primates; Hominidae. The record is from RNAcentral.